GAAAUCUGUAUAAUAUCAGCCACAACCAAUAGCAGCCACAACCAGUGAUCACGGGCUCACGAUCCUUCUAGAGAAGAAAAGGUGGAAUUUGGGCAACAUGCAGGUGAGGAAGAAGAAAGUGGAACACAAAACUGAGGUAUCACUACGGACUUCUGGGAAUUACAGGAAGAUUGCCUCACCCUGCAUGUGAGAGCAGUUAGAUACUUCAACGCUAAAAGUAGGGAAGCUGCCUUGAAGAGAAAGUGGGUCAACUCAAGGCUAAGUUGUAAGAUGACAUGAGCCUAAGGUUCAAGGUCUCGUAAGGGAUCUCCCUUGUCUGAUGGAUGUAUCAGAGGUUGAGCAAGUUAACAUGGGUCACAGUGGUAUAGUGGAAGAACACAAUUGACACUGAAAACAAAAUAUUUAUUCUGUCAGUCUCAGUUGGUUAUUUGUUCAGUGGUUGUUGAGCAGGUACCAUGUACUCGACACUGCUGAAUGCAGAGCACCCAAAGGCAAGAAAACACAGUUUGAUCUUAAGGAUCCCACGAGGAAGGUAAGCCAAAGAGUUAUUCAUUUUCCUACUCUCCUCCCCAAAUCCAUCCACUCCCCUCCUUUGUCUGCCUACCUUCCUCACCCAGAAGUUGACCCUGAGCUCUGAAUCACCUUGCCUUGUGGCUUCUAGUUGGGCUUGGUCUAAAGGAGUCACCAUUAGGAAAUUCGAAGGUGGGGAAAAAAGAGAGAUCGAGGCUUUUUUUCCUCUCCCUCAUGAGCUGGAAUGGGUUUUCUGAUGAUGCUGUCCCGCUACCCCCACCAUAACUACAGUUUCUGUAAGAUAACCCCUUCUGCUUGUCCUGAGCUCCCAAUGCUCAAUGCUUUCAUAAUACUCUUUGCUUCCUUUGCUGUUUUAUUCCUUUGAGUGUUAGUGGUAUCUCACUGUU
Molecule: long non-coding RNA, 917 nt
Organism: Felis catus (domestic cat)
Lineage: Eukaryota; Metazoa; Chordata; Mammalia; Carnivora; Felidae
Exons: 3
Source: RefSeq, a predicted model, not a curated record